GCAAGUCGAGCGGAGGGAGCUUGCUCCCGGAUGUUAGCGGCGGACGGGUGAGUAACACGUGGGUAACCUGCCUGUAAGACUGGGAUAACGAAACCGGAGCUAAUACCGGAUAGUUCCUUGAACCGCAUGGUUCAAGGAUGAAAGACGGUUUCGGCUGUCACUUACAGAUGGACCCGCGGCGCAGGUAACGUCACCAAGGCGACGAUGCGUAGCCGACCUGAGAGGGUGAUCGGCCACACUGGGACUGAGACGCCCAGACUCCUACGGGAGGCAGCAGUAGGGAAUCUUCCGCAAUGGACGAAAGUCUGACGGAGCAACGCCGCGUGAGUGAUGAAGGUUUUCGGAUCGUAAAGCUCUGUUGUUAGGGAAGAACAAGUGCAAGAGUAACUGCUUGCACCUUGACGGUACCUAACCAGAAAGCCACGGCUAACUACGUGCCAGCAGCCGCGGUAAUACGUAGGUGAAGCGUUGUCCGGAAUUAUUGGGCGUAAAGGGCUCGCAGGCGGUUUCUUAAGUCUGAUGUGAAAGCCCCCGGCUCAACCGGGGAGGGUCAUUGGAAACUGGGAAACUUGAGUGCAGAAGAGGAGAGUGGAAUUCCACGUGUCGGUGAAAGAGAUGUGGAGGAACACCAGUGGCGAAGGCGACUCUCUGGUCUGUAACUGACGCUGAGGAGCGAAAGCGUGGGGAGCGAACAGGAUUAGAUACCCUGGUAGUCCACGCCGUAAACGAUGAGUGCUAAGUGUUAGGGGGUUUCCGCCCCUUAGUGCUGCAGCUAACGCAUUAAGCACUCCGCCUGGGGAGUACGGUCGCAAGACUGAAACUCAAAGGAAUUGACGGGGGCCCGCACGCGGUGGAGCAUGUGGUUUAAUUCGAAGCAACGCGAAGAACCUUACCAGGUCUUGACAUCCUCUGACAACCCUAGAGAUAGGGCUUUCCCUUCGGGGACAGAGUGACAGGUGGUGCAUGGUUGUCGUCAGCUCGUGUCGUGAGAUGUUGGGUUAAGUCCCGCAACGAGCGCAACCCUUGAUCUUAGUUGCCAGCAUUCAGUUGGGCACUCUAGUGACUGCCGGUGACAAACCGGAUGGGCCCAAUGGGAUGACGUCAAAUCAUCAUGCCCCUUAUGACCUGGGCUACACACGUGCUACAAUGGACACAAAGGGCUGCGAGACCGCAAGGUUUAGCCAAUCCCACAAAUCUGUUCUCAGUUCGGAUCGCAGUCUGCAUCGGCGUGAAGCUGGAAUCGCUAGUAAUCGCGGAUCAGCAUGCCGCGGUGAAUACGUUCCCGGGCCUUGUACACACCGCCCGUCACACCACGAGAGUUUGCAACACCCGUCG
Molecule: ribosomal RNA, 1335 nt
Filed under: Bacillus aerius
Lineage: Bacteria; Bacillati; Bacillota; Bacilli; Caryophanales; Bacillaceae
Description: bacterial SSU rRNA
Rfam family: Bacterial small subunit ribosomal RNA
Source: RNAcentral